CCUACGGGAGGCAGCAGUAAGGAAUAUUGGUCAAUGGGCGGGAAGCCUGAACCAGCCAUGCCGCGUGCAGGAAGACGGCCCUACGGGUUGUAAACUGCUUUUGUACCGGAAUAAACCUUGAUAUGUAUAUCAAGCUGAAUGUACGGUAAGAAUAAGGAUCGGCUAACUCCGUGCCAGCAGCCGCGGUAAUACGGAGGAUCCAAGCGUUAUCCGGAUUUAUUGGGUUUAAAGGGUGCGUAGGUGGCUUAUUAAGUCAGGGGUGAAAGACGGUAGCUUAACUAUCGCAGUGCCUUUGAUACUGAUGAGCUUGAAUCCACUAGAGGUAGGCGGAAUGUGACAAGUAGCGGUGAAAUGCAUAGAUAUGUCACAGAACACCAAUUGCGAAGGCAGCUUACUAUGGUGGUAUUGACACUGAGGCACGAAAGCGUGGGGAUCAAACAGGAUUAGAUACCCUGGUAGUCCACGCCCUAAACCGAUGAAUACUCGAUGUUGGCGAUAUACGGUCAGCGUCUAAGCGAAAAGCGUUAAAGUAUUCCACCUGGGGAGUACGCCGCAAGGGUUGAAACUCAAANAGAAUUAGNGNGNGAGAGNGCGACGACGACACGAGGGAGGAGG
This 615-nucleotide ribosomal RNA is filed under the name uncultured bacterium. Its description in RNAcentral is "bacterial SSU rRNA". It matches the Rfam family "Bacterial small subunit ribosomal RNA", at positions 338 to 944 of the family's 1533-position model. The record is from RNAcentral.